This 62-nucleotide transfer RNA is filed under the name Camelus bactrianus (Bactrian camel). It matches the Rfam family "tRNA". Rfam says of the family: Transfer RNA (tRNA) molecules are approximately 80 nucleotides in length. Their secondary structure includes four short double-helical elements and three loops (D, anti-codon, and T loops). Further hydrogen bonds mediate the characteristic L-shaped molecular structure. tRNAs have two regions of fundamental functional importance: the anti-codon, which is responsible for specific mRNA codon recognition, and the 3' end, to which the tRNAs corresponding amino acid is attached (by aminoacyl-tRNA synthetases). tRNAs cope with the degeneracy of the genetic code in two manners: having more than one tRNA (with a specific anti-codon) for a particular amino acid; and 'wobble' base-pairing, i.e. permitting non-standard base-pairing at the 3rd anti-codon position. Lineage: Eukaryota; Metazoa; Chordata; Mammalia; Artiodactyla; Camelidae. The record is from Rfam by way of RNAcentral. RNAcentral also lists the same sequence under 2 other names.
GGAAAUAGCUCAGUGGUAGAGCACAUAUGCAUGAGGUCCUGGGUUCAAUCCCAGUACCUCCA